GAUGAACGCUGGCGGCGUGCCUAAUACAUGCAAGUCGAGCGAACAGACGAGGAGCUUGCUCCUCUGACGUUAGCGGCGGACGGGUGAGUAACACGUGGAUAACCUACCUAUAAGGCUGGGAUAACUUCGGGAAACCGGAGCUAAUACCGGAUAAUAUAUUGAACCGCAUGGUUCAAUAGUGAAAGACGGUUUUGCUGUCACUUAUAGAUGGAUCCGCGCCGCAUUAGCUAGUUGGUAAGGUAACGGCUUACCAAGGCGACGAUGCGUAGCCGACCUGAGAGGGUGAUCGGCCACACUGGAACUGAGACACGGUCCAGACUCCUACGGGAGGCAGCAGUAGGGAAUCUUCCGCAAUGGGCGAAAGCCUGACGGAGCAACGCCGCGUGAGUGAUGAAGGUCUUCGGAUCGUAAAACUCUGUUAUUAGGGAAGAACAAAUGUGUAAGUAACUAUGCACGUCUUGACGGUACCUAAUCACAAAGCCACGGCUAACUACGUG
RNAcentral lists this ribosomal RNA (497 nucleotides) under uncultured bacterium. RNAcentral describes it as "partial 16S ribosomal RNA". It matches the Rfam family "Bacterial small subunit ribosomal RNA", at positions 28 to 507 of the family's 1533-position model. The record is from RNAcentral.